GUUUUCCAGUAUGUACUAAAAUCUUAAGGAGGAACAUGCUGUGUUUCUAGAACUGGAGAAGCAAUUCAGGAAAUUGCUGAAACUGCAACACUCUUAACAGGGGCCUUGUGUCUAUGGUGCAGCUCACUAGGCCACACCACACACAAUGUGCUUAGGAGGACUACUACCAAAACAGGCCUGGUUUUAAACACUAAAGCGUGUCAUGUAGGCAGUGUGACAAAUGUGACACCACUGUUUCAUGCUUGAUGCUACAAGCAAUCUUACUGUUAUUUAACCUAUUCCAGAUCAACCCAGUGCAGAAGGAGAAGCAAACUCGUAGUAGGUGGCUUUGCAGGCAGUAGGCCUUAGAUGCUAGCAAUGCACAGUCUGUGACAAAACUCAUUAAUGAUUAGUUCAGCAAAGACAUGCUCUGUAAAACAAGGACACACCAUCAGAAAAUCCUGAAGAAAAAGACUUAAAAUGCAACUUCUAGCACUAAGUAAAUAACUAGCAAAAAAAAGAUAAGCCUCUGAAUACUGAGAGGGAUGAAUACUGAGACAAGACUCAGAAACAUGACAUUUGAGUGUCUCCUCAAAGUUCAUUCAGACUGUGCAAACCCCUUGUAUUUAAACCAUUUACCCUAGAGUAAACCACACCACAAAGGGACAAGCAAAAAAUGUAUGCGUUAGUGAAGCAAACAAGACCUUACAUUUUCUUUGUCUACUAUUACAUUUUAUUAGCACACAAAUUACAAGAGGGCACUUUCAGAGGGCUUACACUGAUCAUUGGGUCCUGAAAGACACAGACGAAGGGAAAGCAGUUUCCCUUGAAAAGAUUUGUGUGUUUGUUGGCUUCUUCCCCCCCCCCAACUGAAAUCUGGUUUAGAGCACAGCCCUACAAGCAACUGUAUUGCUAUGUUGGUUAUAACAAUCUGCAGUGGCAGCAAAGAGCCUCAAGGUAUGUCAGGAUACUGCCCAUCCCAUGUUACAGGGAGGCCUGUACUCUAAGCCACCCAAAGCAGGACUGUAAAACACUCAGGUUUUGUUUGUCUGCUUUUUCUAAAGGAUCGUGCAGAAUUCUGAAGGGGAAAGGGUACAUUUUUGGUAAUGGGGAGUGGCUGCGAUCGGAGAAAGCAGCAUGUUCGUGUGAACAUCAACCACCAUGCAACAUGUCUGAACAGAAGUUUGUUAGGAUAAACCAUAAGAAGACAGCAAAUGAGGCUGGGGACCUCGCAAUGACUGAC
This 1222-nucleotide long non-coding RNA is filed under the name Anser brachyrhynchus (Pink-footed goose). Its description in RNAcentral is "lncRNA (ENSABRG00000017720.1)". Lineage: Eukaryota; Metazoa; Chordata; Aves; Anseriformes; Anatidae. The record is from RNAcentral.